Molecule: unclassified non-coding RNA, 115 nt
Filed under: Pogonomyrmex barbatus (red harvester ant)
Lineage: Eukaryota; Metazoa; Arthropoda; Insecta; Hymenoptera; Formicidae
Description: uncharacterized LOC105425074, transcript variant X1
Source: RNAcentral
CGAGCGAUUUUAGUUACGCUCUUCAUACGGAUAACUGCUUUCGGAACAUAUAUGAUCUAUCUCGAACGUAGGAAACAUUAUCUCUAUUUAUAUUUAUAUUUUCAAUAAUAUUGAU